Molecule: transfer RNA, 75 nt
Filed under: Ipomoea nil (Japanese morning glory)
Lineage: Eukaryota; Viridiplantae; Streptophyta; Magnoliopsida; Solanales; Convolvulaceae
Rfam family: tRNA
About the family: Transfer RNA (tRNA) molecules are approximately 80 nucleotides in length. Their secondary structure includes four short double-helical elements and three loops (D, anti-codon, and T loops). Further hydrogen bonds mediate the characteristic L-shaped molecular structure. tRNAs have two regions of fundamental functional importance: the anti-codon, which is responsible for specific mRNA codon recognition, and the 3' end, to which the tRNAs corresponding amino acid is attached (by aminoacyl-tRNA synthetases). tRNAs cope with the degeneracy of the genetic code in two manners: having more than one tRNA (with a specific anti-codon) for a particular amino acid; and 'wobble' base-pairing, i.e. permitting non-standard base-pairing at the 3rd anti-codon position.
Source: Rfam by way of RNAcentral
GUCGUUGUAGUAUAGUGGUGAGUAUCCCCCGCCUGUCACGCGAGAGACUCCGGGUUCGAUCCCCCGGCAACGGCU